Molecule: ribosomal RNA, 489 nt
Filed under: uncultured bacterium
Lineage: Bacteria
Description: bacterial SSU rRNA
Rfam family: Bacterial small subunit ribosomal RNA
Source: RNAcentral
GGCUCAGAUUGAACGCUGGCGGCAUGCCUUACACAUGCAAGUCGAACGGUAACGGGCCUUCGGGUGCCGACGAGUGGCGAACGGGUGAGUAAUGUAUCGGAACGUACCUUUCAGUGGGGGAUAACGUAGCGAAAGUUACGCUAAUACCGCAUAUUCUGUGCGCAGGAAAGCAGGGGAUCGCAAGACCUUGCGCUGAUUGAGCGGCCGAUAUCAGAUUAGCUAGUUGGUGAGGUAAAGGCUCACCAAGGCGACGAUCUGUAGCGGGUCUGAGAGGAUGAUCCGCCACACUGGAACUGAGACACGGUCCAGACUCCUACGGGAGGCAGCAGUGGGGAAUUUUGGACAAUGGGGGCAACCCUGAUCCAGCCAUGCCGCGUGAGUGAAGAAGGCCUUCGGGUUGUAAAGCUCUUUCGGCCGGGAAGAAAUCGUAUCAGCUAAUACCUGGUGCGGAUGACGGUACCGGCAUAAGAAGCACCGGCUAACUACGUG